This 298-nucleotide unclassified non-coding RNA is filed under the name Glomeraceae sp. RNAcentral's name for it is "partial contains 5.8S ribosomal RNA and internal transcribed spacer 2". The stretch from base 1 to 65 matches the Rfam family "5.8S ribosomal RNA", at positions 84 to 154 of the family's 154-position model. The record is from RNAcentral. Lineage: Eukaryota; Fungi; Glomeromycota; Glomeromycetes; Glomerales; Glomeraceae.
GUGAAUCAUCGAAUUUUUGAACGCAAAUUGCGCUCUCCGCGGAGAGUAUGCCUGUUUGAGUGUCAGCCUAUAAAAAAUCGACAUCGUUGCUGUUUCGCGGUGGCUUUCGUCGGAAAUUGGGUUAUCUUAAAUCCUUUUGGGUUUUAAGCGACUUCAAAUUUUCUUUUUGGUUCCAUGAACGUUUCUAAGAUUUAUUUCUUUACACGUUUAAGGUAUCGAUUUUUAUUAGACGCGAUCAUCAUAGCUGAUCGCGUCCAUAAUCUUUCAUUAACUGACCUAAGACAGGUAAGAGUACCCG